AAAGGCUUUUAUGCUUGUUUGAACAAGCACUGGCAGGUGGUGCUGGAAACGUAAGUCAGGAGAGAAGCCCCGUGGGAACCUGGAUGACCCUUCUGAUGUUCCCACCCCUAAUGGCGUCCCAGGAGUUCGGACAGCUGAAGGAACAGUGAAAUCAUGUAACAUUUCUGACUUCUCUAACCAGAGCACUAUUGUCCUCGGUCACUGCUGUGGUGUGAUCCCUACAAGUCACUACGCAUUACUGAUGCUGGCUUUGAGAAUCUUUUGCUGCUUCUUCCAACAAACAGUCCAUCUUUUUUUACCUGUAUUCUAGAGUACUGUACAACCACUCAGCAGUGUGUCUUCCUUGUAAGAUCGAAGCUUUCUCUGUGCUGGCAGCUGCUGGGCUCUAGAGAUGUCCGCAGUUCGGUGGUGAUGUACACAGCCGGCUUGAAGAGUCCUGAGAUGCUUCCAAGACUGGAAACUCUGGACAACAGAAAACAAAACUGAUCCUUGAUGCCUCAUUCUUCAUCAGGCCAGUCACCAGCAAUGGAAAAGAAACUGUACCAGUUUUGGACGUGUGGAGUGGCUGGGGAGCUGCAAGAUCACCAUGAAGGCUGGCCUCAUGCAGAUCUCUGAGGUGCUGUCUUCUGCAUGAUGACCUGGCUGCAUCACAUGAAGAUGAGGCUACGAGGGGGAAACGUAUCCUCCAGCAAGGGGGCUUUUAGUGCAGAGCCUGUCUAGGAGACACUUCUCCAGGAUAGUGUCACGGCUUCCCUCUCCCCCUGUAACACUGCAUGUUAGAAGCCAGAGGUUAAGCCGGAGUGGGCAGAAGGCCACGCGCUCCAUUUGAGGUCCUAGCUGUGGGAGGGAGCUUGUUACAAGUACUGCAUUCAGCAAGAGAAAUUUGGCAGGUCUGAGACACUGAUGGAAAGUUGACAGAGCCAUCUAUGUACCUUUUCCUGGCAAAAGACUCCAGCUCCAGGACCUCCUAGGGUGGUUUGCAAAAAAGG
RNAcentral lists this long non-coding RNA (989 nucleotides) under Struthio camelus australis. RNAcentral's name for it is "lncRNA (ENSSCUG00000016165.1)". Lineage: Eukaryota; Metazoa; Chordata; Aves; Struthioniformes; Struthionidae. The record is from RNAcentral.